UCCGCCAUGGCUCAGUUGGUAGUAGCGCAUGACUGUUAAUCAUGAUGUCGUAGGUUCGAGUCCUACUGGCGGAG
RNAcentral lists this transfer RNA (74 nucleotides) under Streptococcus agalactiae. RNAcentral's name for it is "tRNA-Asn". It matches the Rfam family "tRNA". Rfam says of the family: Transfer RNA (tRNA) molecules are approximately 80 nucleotides in length. Their secondary structure includes four short double-helical elements and three loops (D, anti-codon, and T loops). Further hydrogen bonds mediate the characteristic L-shaped molecular structure. tRNAs have two regions of fundamental functional importance: the anti-codon, which is responsible for specific mRNA codon recognition, and the 3' end, to which the tRNAs corresponding amino acid is attached (by aminoacyl-tRNA synthetases). tRNAs cope with the degeneracy of the genetic code in two manners: having more than one tRNA (with a specific anti-codon) for a particular amino acid; and 'wobble' base-pairing, i.e. permitting non-standard base-pairing at the 3rd anti-codon position. RNAcentral also lists the same sequence under 1 other name. The record is from RNAcentral. Lineage: Bacteria; Bacillati; Bacillota; Bacilli; Lactobacillales; Streptococcaceae.